This 567-nucleotide long non-coding RNA is filed under the name Eucalyptus grandis. RNAcentral's name for it is "long non-coding RNA (EGRA_LNC003807)". The record is from RNAcentral. Lineage: Eukaryota; Viridiplantae; Streptophyta; Magnoliopsida; Myrtales; Myrtaceae.
ACGAGAAAAUAUUGGGUACCCUAACAGUGCCACGUCAUUCGUGCUCUGAACCAUUCAUUGCGCGACACGUGUCCGUCUGUCAGUCCACGUCGUCCACCUCUCCGUUUCGAACCAGCGCGCGGGAGCUUCUCUCUCUCCUCUCUCCCUGGCCCACCUCUCUGCACCUUCUGACGCUCUGCUCUCCUCUCUCUCCUCUCUUUCUCUCUCCCCGUUCUCCGUUCCGUUGCGGGGAGGGAGAACAAAAUUGCGACGGUUCAGAGCAAAACAUAAAGUUCGCUCUGCUCUCUCUCUCUCCCCCCUUCGACGGCCCUCCACCUCCGUCGCCCCCGACGCCGACGCCGACGCCGACGCCGACGCCGACGCCGACGCCGACGCCGACGCCGACGCCGACGCCGACGCCGACGCCGACGCCGACGCCGACGCCGACGCCGACGCCGACGCCGACGCCGACGCCGACACCGACGCAGCCUACGCCUCCCUCUCGUGACCUCUGGUCGGCUUUAUCUCUCUUUCGUCCUCGAAGGCGCGGCUCUCUGCCAGCAAAUCGCGACGCCGACGCCCCUCCGC